This 182-nucleotide ribosomal RNA is filed under the name uncultured Chloroflexota bacterium. RNAcentral's name for it is "uncultured Chloroflexi bacterium partial 16S ribosomal RNA". It matches the Rfam family "Bacterial small subunit ribosomal RNA", at positions 1202 to 1382 of the family's 1533-position model. The record is from RNAcentral. Lineage: Bacteria; Bacillati; Chloroflexota.
UUACGCCUUGGGCUACACACACGCUACAAUGGAUGAUACAACGGGUUGCUAAGGAGCGAUCCGGCGCCAAUCCCCAAAAUCAAUCCUCAGUUCAGAUUGUAGGCUGAAACUGCCUGCAUGAAGGCGGAGUUGCUAGUAACCGCAGGUCAGCCAUACUGCGUUGAAUACGUUCCCGGGGCCUU